Molecule: ribosomal RNA, 1383 nt
Filed under: Athetis lepigone
Lineage: Eukaryota; Metazoa; Arthropoda; Insecta; Lepidoptera; Noctuidae
Description: 16S ribosomal RNA
Source: RNAcentral
GGGGUAAAAUUAAUAAAUUAAUUUUAAUAAAAAAAUUUUUAAUAAAAUAUUUUAAAGGGGGGGUUAAAGUAUAUUUAUAGAAAAAAUAAAUUAAUUUAUAGUUAAAUAGUAUUGUAAAAGAAUUUUGAAAUAAUUGAAAAUUAAAUUUUUUUAAAAGUAAUUUUUAUUUAAUGUAUCUUGGGUAUCAGAGUUUAUUAAAAAAAAUUAUUAAAUAAAAAAAUUCUCGAAUUUAAAAGAGAUAAUUAAUUAAUAAAGUUAUUGUAGCAUAAAUAUUUUAAAUAAUUAAUUGGAAAUGAAAUGUUAAUCGUUUUUAAAUAUAUCUAGUUUUUUUAGAAAAAAAUUUAAUUUUAUAUUAUUUAAAAAAAAAAUUAAUUAAUUAAUUUUUUUUUAAAAUAAUAAUAUAUUUUAAGGGAUAAGCUUUAAUUUAAAUUUAUAUAAAUAAAUUGAAAAAUUAAAUUGAAAAUUUUAUAAUUUAUAUUGUUAAAAAAAUUUAAUUUAUUAUAAAUAAUUUCAUUUAAAAUAAAAUUUAAUAAAAUUUUAUAUGGUUUAUAAAAAAAAAUUUUUUAAUAAAAUAAAAUUUGAUAUAAUGAUAAAAUUAGUAUAUAAUAAAAUAUAUAAAUGAAUAAUUUAGUAUAAAUAAUUAAUUAAAAGGAAUUCGGCAAAAAUUUAUAUUCACUUGUUUAUCAAAAACAUGUCUUUUUGAAAAUAAUAUAAAGUCUAAUCUGCCCACUGAUAUAAUAUUAAAGGGCUGCAGUAUAUUGACUGUACAAAGGUAGCAUAAUCAUUAGUCAUUUAAUUGAUGACUUGUAUGAAAGAUUGGAUGAAAUAUAAACUGUCUCUUAAUUAAAUAUAGAAUUUAAUUUUUAAAUUAAAAAGUUUAAAUAAUUUAAAAAGACGAGAAGACCCUAUAGAGUUUUAUAAAUUUAAUGAUUAAGAUUAUUUAUUAAAAAAAAAAUUAAAAUUAAUAAAUUUAUUUUGUUGGGGUGACAAAAAAAUAUAAAAAACUUUUUUUAAAAUAAAACAUAUAUAAAUGAUUAAAUGAUCCAUUAUUAUUGAUUAUAAGAAAAAAUUACCUUAGGGAUAACAGCGUAAUUUUUUUUUUUAGUUCUUAUAAAAAGAAAAGUUUGCGACCUCGAUGUUGGAUUAAGAUAAAAUUUAAAUGCAGUAGUUUAAAAUUUUUGAUCUGUUCGAUCAUUAAAAUCUUACAUGAUCUGAGUUCAAACCGGUGUAAGCCAGGUUGGUUUCUAUCUUUUAAAAAAUAAAAUAUUUUAGUACGAAAGGAUUAAAUAUUUAAAUUAAAUUUUUUAUUUUGAAUUUUAUUAAAGAUAAUUUAUAAAUUUAUAAUAAAUAAAUUAAUAUAUAUAUAUAUAUAUAUAUAUAUUU